This 28-nucleotide small RNA is filed under the name Bombyx mori (domestic silkworm). RNAcentral describes it as "ovarian small RNA-8856". Lineage: Eukaryota; Metazoa; Arthropoda; Insecta; Lepidoptera; Bombycidae. The record is from RNAcentral.
UGGUUCUGGUUCUGGGUAGUCUCGGGUU